CCAAAAAACAGAAGCUCUUUCUUCCUCCUCCUUCUCUCAUCUCUCCCUCUCGUCCCCAAAAAACAGAAGCUCCUCUCUCCCUUUCGUCCUUCUCCCCCAUCCUGCAAGAACAAUAUAUGUUUGCUCUCUCUCGUUUCCUCCUCCCUUCUCCCUCUCCUUCCUCCUCCCUUUUCCCCUUAAUUUAUUAUUUUUUUUAUCUGUUUUGCAGCAGUGGUUGGCGGCGGCAACAGCUCCUCAGUCGACUUCUCCAGCAUUUUUUUCGUCGAAAUGGAAUUUGUGCAUCGUAGAUGAAUGUAUAAUAGGAAUCAUCCUAAUCGUGCGGGGUUGAAGGAUGAAUUUAUUGAAGGGGUUGCUGAAUUUAUUGUUAAGGCUCAAACACUUGAUGAUUUUCUUAUUGGAGGAAGGAUUAGGUGCCCUUGUGUGAAAUAUAAGUAUGUUAAUUUAUUGAAAGCAGACGAAGUUAAAGUUCAUCUAUACAAGAAAGGGUUUGUAGUCAAAGUAAAUUCCAGAAAGGGUCUAUGUCUGCCAAAGGAAGUCAAAGUAACACUGUUUUUAACUUUGUACCCACACCUUCCAUACCAUCAUCUUCACCGGAAUUUCAUGGUAGUCAGCAUGGUGGCUCACCAGCUACUACAUCCCCAAGCUUUUAUGGUAGUUAGUAUACUGGCUCACCAGCUGCUGCACCUUCGAGCUUUCAUGGUAGUCAGCAUGAUGGCUCACCAGCUGCUGCAUCCCCGAGUUUUCAUGGUAGUCAACAUGAUGGUUCGUCUUUUGUUGCUCCAUCAUCUUUCAGUCCAUCAUCAUCAUCCAUUCCCAGUAUAUCUAGGUUGGAUAUUGGAGGCUCUCGCCUAGCUACAUCUAGUGCUGCUUCUGCACCAUCUAGUAGACGCAGGCAGAAUCUUAGAGAGGAUGUACAAUUUGAUAGUUAUAAUCGAUUGAUAAUCGUCCCCUACGAGGAUGGGUUUUUGCCAUCCUUUCAGUAUUCACAUUUGGUUGUGGAAUUUAUGAAGCCAUUUUAUCAUGAGCCGUAGAAUUCUUGGAGAUAGAUACGUAUACAUGGCAUCCUCAGCAUCAAAAUAAAAUAAAUAAUAUUUUCGACAAGAAGGCUGCUAAGCGGAUUAAAGAUACUAUGUUCGCUGCUCAGAAUGCUGGUAAAAUGCCGGAGUGGUUAAGAGAAGAUGUUUGGGAUAUAUUUCUUAAGAAAUGAAAUACCGCAGAAUGGAAGAAGAAGAGUGAACAAGCAAAGGCAAAUCGUGCCUCCAGUAAAGGUUGCUCGUUGCACACAAGAGGAAAAGGAAAGAGGGCGAGAUAUGAGUCAUGCUGAGGUCUUUGAGGAGACGCAUAAGAAAAAGAAGAAGGAUGGUACAAGAGAACACUAGGGGAGACGCGUGCGUCAGACACAUAUAAAGAUUAUCAUAAAAGGGUGGAAGAAUGGCAACAAACUCAUCCUCUUUUAACUCAACCAACACCUAAUGAAAUGGCUUCAUUGUGGACAGAGGCAGCAGGUGGAGUAAACAAAGGAAGAGUUUAUGGACUUGGCGUACGUCGACCUACAGGUCAUCUAAACCCACUCUUAGCCAACUCUUCUUCUUCUCAAAAUCAAGAACAGAUGGAAGAUAUGAGAAAGAAAAUUCGUGAUUUGAAGCAACAGUUGGACUCCCAAAUUCGGAACAUUUGUUAAGAUGCAGAAAUUCAUGAGAAAACAUGGGCAUGAUCUAUCUGAUGAUGAGGAUGAACAAACUGAAUCCGAUGUGUAGUAGAUUAGGUGUGGUGUUUUGGUUAAUUGGUAAACUUGAUUGUGAAAGACAACUUUAUAUUUUAUUUUUAAACUUGAAUGUGGGCUACUAUUUGGAUGUUUUUAUGCCCAAAAUUGUUAGGUUUAAUAGUUGGUAUUGUUGGUUUAGAUUGUGCUAAUGGUUGGAAUUGUUGGUUUAUAUUAUGUUAAUAGUUGGUAUUGUUGGUUUA
Molecule: long non-coding RNA, 1965 nt
Organism: Nicotiana tabacum (common tobacco)
Lineage: Eukaryota; Viridiplantae; Streptophyta; Magnoliopsida; Solanales; Solanaceae
Source: RefSeq, a predicted model, not a curated record